GUUGGGAAUUGACGUGAAGGGUCCUCCGAUUGAAGAGAUUGCUGCGGAAGUGCCUGCUGUCGAUGGAGGAUCACUAACAGGAGCGUGGAAGACUCCAGAAUCCACUCUGGCUGGAAUCCGGUGGAUAUGCAGUGUUUACAGGUACAGUACGUGAUAUCAAGGGCAGGCGGUCAACACUGGGGGUAGACAAGAAGCAGACGUACUUCCAAGAGGGAGCUGCAGUGAGGACACAGCCAGGAGGCGCUGGAAGGUUUCCCUAAUAGUUCCUGGUGAAUCAAAGCAGAACCAUAAAGGUUGCUGGACUGCAUGAUGGCCUUACCCCUGAGCAGUCAUCCUGUUAAAGGAGGAACCACUUAGCUGUUUUCAAAGUAGCUGAGCAGAUUUCAUCUCAAGUAAGCGAUUAACUGUUUGUUCAUCUGUUCUGCCACUUAAAGAGCAUUUAAGGACAUCUUUUAAGUGUCCAGUUGAAUUAAUUCUACUGGCUCUCAUGGUCAUUUGUUAUUAUAGCCAUAUUUUUCAUGUUCAUCCAGCUAUUUAGUAAAUUCUAUCUAUUUAGUAAUAUCCGUCAGCUAUAAAAUGUAAUAUAAAUAUAAAAAUAUCUAAAUAUCUCCUGUCCUUUAUGUUUUAAUGAUGUAAGUCUGUUAUCGUGUUUCAAGUCAAGUCAAGUCAACUUUAAUUGUCAAUUCUGCCACAUGUACAGGACAUACAGAGAAUAGAAAUUGCGUUACUCUCAAACCCUAGUGAUUAGAAAAAUGCAAAUAAAAUAAUUUAAAAGUAAAAAUUUAAAUAAAUACAAUACAAUUUUACGUAUAACAAAAAAAAAAAAGCUAUGCAAUAUACAAUAUACAAUAUUCAAGUAAGGAGGCAUAGUGGUGCAAAAUAGGCAAAUAGUGCAAAUGGAGAUUUACAUUAGCAUUCCUCACAUAUCAAUGAGAUGCUGUACAGUACAAUCCUACUGACACAGCAGAGGGAUAACGACGGCUAUUCAACAUCGUUACACGACACAUUCGAGCUGCAUGACACAGACAAAGUGACUAAAUCAUCUUUUUUGUGGUUUAUUGUCUUCAAACCAGCAGACAAAGCCGAUUGCAGAAGAUGUCGGAGAAGAACUUCAGGCCGUGUACUGAAAAGGUAUUUUUUUCUUGUUAUCAAAGACAUUUGGAGUGACGGCUUCUACAACUGGUUGUGCUAAAGUAACGCUUACAGUCUAAGAAAUCAUAGUGUUGAUAUUCAGCACAAAGAGAAAAGCUCACUUGUUUGAAUUUAUUUACAAUCAUAGUUUUAUAAAUUCUGAAUGUAAACAUCUUUUACAGCUUUGAUAUUGUUUGACACUAGAUAUCAGGUUUAAUUUAAAGGUUUCUGUGUCCCAAUGAGCCAUUUACACUGAUCAGUGUCAGUUUAACUGUAACACAUUCAUUAUUUAGAUUCAACAAAGAAAUAACUGAAUGUAAAAAUGGCAGCCCACAGGCCAGGUUUAUAGAGAUAUAUGCAUGCAUUAUGAAAUUUAUAUAUCCCAGAUAAUUGUUAUUCCUCUAGUCAUGGCAGACCCACCUCUUCCUCCCAAGUUAACUGCAACCCAAAAGAACUAGUGGGGCUAUUUACACACUCACAACCAGUGUGGGGUAAAAAGAGCCACCAAAAAGCUGUCAGCCACAGAUGUGCUAGAAGAGUUAGAAACUCUACUUAUGGAGAAACUUUCUAAGUCUAACAGAGGACAGGUACUCCUGCCCAAAUAACAUGAUAUAACCCCACAUACAGCCCAGCCAUAAAGUGAACCAAGUCAUUUAGUUAAAGACAGCAUGGGACCAAAUGCAUGUAACCAGCCUGCACCAACCUGGCAUUUCUUCCUCCUGAAUUAAAUGAAUGAAUGGAUGAAAGUUAAAUGACUACAAACCUAAAGCCACUAGUUCCCACACUGGAGCUCCCUGACACUGUGUGUUAACCGUAUUUAGCUUGUAUCAACAGUUGUAACAGGCUAAGCCACCUGAGACACUGCAUUGAAUUUGUUCCUGUCUUAAUGAUUUCAGCUCAGAUGUUCUGCUUUUUCAUUUCAGUAGAUCAAAGCAGCUUGUGCUCCUUCUGCUUCCAAUUUAGAAGAAGAAGGCGAAGGCUUCAGCGAAGUGGCGUUCAUGGUCUCAGUGAACAGUCAUGGCCACACACUGCAUGUGGUUUUAAAAGCAACAUGUCUGUUCACCACAACAAUGGAGAUGUGUAAUAUUAGUGCAGCUACGGUUUGUUUUUGAACAUCAGUUCUGUUUUCUACUUUGAUCACUUAGACCAAAAAAGUGUUGUUUUCAGAUUCUUUCUUUUACAUCUAUAAACCACCUGUUCAUUUUUUUUAUUACAAUUAGUUUCACAUGAAUGUUAGUGUUUCCUUUAUGAUCUUUUAAUGCUUACACUACACUGUACAUGUCUACAUUAGAGACAUUUCUGUUACCUGUUUCUGUUGACUCAGAGUUGUGAAAUGUUCUUUUAUUUGAUGCACAAUAUGAAGCUCAUAAUUUUCUUACAAAUAAAACUCUA
This is a long non-coding RNA of Astatotilapia calliptera (eastern happy), 2523 nucleotides long. Lineage: Eukaryota; Metazoa; Chordata; Actinopteri; Cichliformes; Cichlidae. The record is from Ensembl.